Molecule: ribosomal RNA, 2921 nt
Filed under: Staphylococcus aureus M0651
Lineage: Bacteria; Bacillati; Bacillota; Bacilli; Caryophanales; Staphylococcaceae
Description: bacterial LSU rRNA
Rfam family: Bacterial large subunit ribosomal RNA
Source: RNAcentral
UUAAGUUAUUAAGGGCGCACGGUGGAUGCCUUGGCACUAGAAGCCGAUGAAGGACGUUACUAACGACGAUAUGCUUUGGGGAGCUGUAAGUAAGCUUUGAUCCAGAGAUUUCCGAAUGGGGAAACCCAGCAUGAGUUAUGUCAUGUUAUCGAUAUGUGAAUACAUAGCAUAUCAGAAGGCACACCCGGAGAACUGAAACAUCUUAGUACCCGGAGGAAGAGAAAGAAAAUUCGAUUCCCUUAGUAGCGGCGAGCGAAACGGGAAGAGCCCAAACCAAAAAGCUUGCUUGUUGGGGUUGUAGGACACUCUAUACGGAGUUACAAAGGACGACAUUAGACGAAUCAUCUGGAAAGAUGAAUCAAAGAAGGUAAUAAUCCUGUAGUCGAAAAUGUUGUCUCUCUUGAGUGGAUCCUGAGUACGACGGAGCACGUGAAAUUCCGUCGGAAUCUGGGAGGACCAUCUCCUAAGGCUAAAUACUCUCUAGUGACCGAUAGUGAACCAGUACCGUGAGGGAAAGGUGAAAAGCACCCCGGAAGGAGAGUGAAAUAGAACCUGAAACCGUGUGCUUACAAGUAGUCAGAGCCCGUUAAUGGGUGAUGGCGUGCCUUUUGUAGAAUGAACCGGCGAGUUACGAUUUGAUGCAAGGUUAAGCAGUAAAUGUGGAGCCGUAGCGAAAGCGAGUCUGAAUAGGGCGUUUAGUAUUUGGUCGUAGACCCGAAACCAGGUGAUCUACCCUUGGUCAGGUUGAAGUUCAGGUAACACUGAAUGGAGGACCGAACCGACUUACGUUGAAAAGUGAGCGGAUGAACUGAGGGUAGCGGAGAAAUUCCAAUCGAACCUGGAGAUAGCUGGUUCUCUCCGAAAUAGCUUUAGGGCUAGCCUCAAGUGAUGAUUAUUGGAGGUAGAGCACUGUUUGGACGAGGGGCCCCUCUCGGGUUACCGAAUUCAGACAAACUCCGAAUGCCAAUUAAUUUAACUUGGGAGUCAGAACAUGGGUGAUAAGGUCCGUGUUCGAAAGGGAAACAGCCCAGACCACCAGCUAAGGUCCCAAAAUAUAUGUUAAGUGGAAAAGGAUGUGGCGUUGCCCAGACAACUAGGAUGUUGGCUUAGAAGCAGCCAUCAUUUAAAGAGUGCGUAAUAGCUCACUAGUCGAGUGACACUGCGCCGAAAAUGUACCGGGGCUAAACAUAUUACCGAAGCUGUGGAUUGUCCUUUGGACAAUGGUAGGAGAGCGUUCUAAGGGCGUUGAAGCAUGAUCGUAAGGACAUGUGGAGCGCUUAGAAGUGAGAAUGCCGGUGUGAGUAGCGAAAGACGGGUGAGAAUCCCGUCCACCGAUUGACUAAGGUUUCCAGAGGAAGGCUCGUCCGCUCUGGGUUAGUCGGGUCCUAAGCUGAGGCCGACAGGCGUAGGCGAUGGAUAACAGGUUGAUAUUCCUGUACCACCUAUAAUCGUUUUAAUCGAUGGGGGGACGCAGUAGGAUAGGCGAAGCGUGCGAUUGGAUUGCACGUCUAAGCAGUAAGGCUGAGUAUUAGGCAAAUCCGGUACUCGUUAAGGCUGAGCUGUGAUGGGGAGAAGACAUUGUGUCUUCGAGUCGUUGAUUUCACACUGCCGAGAAAAGCCUCUAGAUAGAAAAUAGGUGCCCGUACCGCAAACCGACACAGGUAGUCAAGAUGAGAAUUCUAAGGUGAGCGAGCGAACUCUCGUUAAGGAACUCGGCAAAAUGACCCCGUAACUUCGGGAGAAGGGGUGCUCUUUAGGGUUAACGCCCAGAAGAGCCGCAGUGAAUAGGCCCAAGCGACUGAUUAUCAAAAACACAGGUCUCUGCUAAACCGUAAGGUGAUGUAUAGGGGCUGACGCCUGCCCGGUGCUGGAAGGUUAAGAGGAGUGGUUAGCUUCUGCGAAGCUACGAAUCGAAGCCCCAGUAAACGGCGGCCGUAACUAUAACGGUCCUAAGGUAGCGAAAUUCCUUGUCGGGUAAGUUCCGACCCGCACGAAAGGCGUAACGAUUUGGGCACUGUCUCAACGAGAGACUCGGUGAAAUCAUAGUACCUGUGAAGAUGCAGGUUACCCGCGACAGGACGGAAAGACCCCGUGGAGCUUUACUGUAGCCUGAUAUUGAAAUUCGGCACAGCUUGUACAGGAUAGGUAGGAGCCUUUGAAACGUGAGCGCUAGCUUACGUGGAGGCGCUGGUGGGAUACUACCCUAGCUGUGUUGGCUUUCUAACCCGCACCACUUAUCGUGGUGGGAGACAGUGUCAGGCGGGCAGUUUGACUGGGGCGGUCGCCUCCUAAAAGGUAACGGAGGCGCUCAAAGGUUCCCUCAGAAUGGUUGGAAAUCAUUCAUAGAGUGUAAAGGCAUAAGGGAGCUUGACUGCGAGACCUACAAGUCGAGCAGGGUCGAAAGACGGACUUAGUGAUCCGGUGGUUCCGCAUGGAAGGGCCAUCGCUCAACGGAUAAAAGCUACCCCGGGGAUAACAGGCUUAUCUCCCCCAAGAGUUCACAUCGACGGGGAGGUUUGGCACCUCGAUGUCGGCUCAUCGCAUCCUGGGGCUGUAGUCGGUCCCAAGGGUUGGGCUGUUCGCCCAUUAAAGCGGUACGCGAGCUGGGUUCAGAACGUCGUGAGACAGUUCGGUCCCUAUCCGUCGUGGGCGUAGGAAAUUUGAGAGGAGCUGUCCUUAGUACGAGAGGACCGGGAUGGACAUACCUCUGGUGUACCAGUUGUCGUGCCAACGGCAUAGCUGGGUAGCUAUGUGUGGACGGGAUAAGUGCUGAAAGCAUCUAAGCAUGAAGCCCCCCUCAAGAUGAGAUUUCCCAACUUCGGUUAUAAGAUCCCUCAAAGAUGAUGAGGUUAAUAGGUUCGAGGUGGAAGCAUGGUGACAUGUGGAGCUGACGAAUACUAAUCGAUCGAAGACUUAAUCAA